This 405-nucleotide ribosomal RNA is filed under the name uncultured Leptotrichiaceae bacterium. RNAcentral describes it as "bacterial SSU rRNA". It matches the Rfam family "Bacterial small subunit ribosomal RNA", at positions 355 to 774 of the family's 1533-position model. Lineage: Bacteria; Fusobacteriati; Fusobacteriota; Fusobacteriia; Fusobacteriales; Leptotrichiaceae. The record is from RNAcentral.
UGGGGAAUAUUGGACAAUGGAGGAAACUCUGAUCCAGCAAUUCUGUGUGUGUGAAGAAGGUCUUCGGAUUGUAAAACACUUUUAGUUGGGAAGAAACAAAUGACGGUACCAACAGAAGAAGCGACGGCUAAAUACGUGCCAGCAGCCGCGGUAAUACGUAUGUCGCAAGCGUUAUCCGGAAUUAUUGGGCUUAAAGGGCAUCUAGGCGGUAUAACAAGUUGAAGGUGAAAAGCUGUAGCUCAACUAUAGUCUUGCCUACAAAACUGUAAUACUAGAGUACUGGAAAGGUGGGUGGAACUACACGAGUAGAGGUGAAAUUCGUAGAUAUGUGUAGGAAUGCCGAUGAUGAAGAUAACUCACUGGACAGAAACUGACGCUGAAGUGCGAAAGCUAGGGGAGCAAACA